This 719-nucleotide ribosomal RNA is filed under the name Vibrio coralliilyticus ATCC BAA-450. RNAcentral's name for it is "bacterial LSU rRNA". It matches the Rfam family "Bacterial large subunit ribosomal RNA", at positions 1 to 773 of the family's 2925-position model. Lineage: Bacteria; Pseudomonadati; Pseudomonadota; Gammaproteobacteria; Vibrionales; Vibrionaceae. The record is from RNAcentral.
GGUUAAGUGACUAAGCGUACACGGUGGAUGCCUUGGCAGUCAGAGGCGAUGAAGGACGUAUUAACUUGCGAUAAGCCCAGAUUAGACAGUAAAAGUCAUUUGAGUCUGGGAUUUCCGAAUGGGGAAACCCACCUGCAUAAGCAGGUAUCAUUACCUGAAUACAUAGGGUAAUGAGGCGAACCGGGGGAACUGAAACAUCUAAGUACCCCGAGGAAAAGAAAUCAACCGAGAUUCCGAAAGUAGCGGCGAGCGAAAUUGGAUUAGCCCUUAAGCCUAUAAUGCGUCAGGUGAAAGUUCUGGAAAGUUCUGCGAUACAGGGUGAUAGCCCCGUAACCGACAGCGCAUUUUAGGUGAAAUCGAGUAGGGCGGGACACGUGAUAUCCUGUCUGAAUAUGGGGGGACCAUCCUCCAAGGCUAAAUACUACUGACUGACCGAUAGUGAACCAGUACCGUGAGGGAAAGGCGAAAAGAACCCCUGUGAGGGGAGUGAAAUAGAACCUGAAACCGUGUACGUACAAGCAGUAGGAGCACCUUCGUGGUGUGACUGCGUACCUUUUGUAUAAUGGGUCAGCGACUUAUAUUCAGUAGCAAGGUUAACCAUCUAGGGGAGCCGUAGAGAAAUCGAGUCUUAACUGGGCGUCGAGUUGCUGGAUAUAGACCCGAAACCAGGUGAUCUAGCCAUGGGCAGGUUGAAAGGUUGAGUAACAUCAACUGGAGGA